AACGAACGCUGGCGGCAGGCUUAACACAUGCAAGUCGAACGCACCUUUCGGGGUGAGUGGCAGACGGGUGAGUAACGCGUGGGAAUCUACCCUUCUCUACGGGAUAGCUCCGGGAAACUGGAAUUAAUACCGUAUACGUCCUGAGGGAGAAAGAUUUAUCGGGGAAGGAUGAGCCCGCGUUGGAGUAGCUAGUUGGUGGGGUAAAGGCCUACCAAGGCGACGAUCCAUAGCUGGUCUAAGAGGAUGAUCAGCAACAUUGGGACUGAGACACGGCCCAAACUCCUACGGGAGGCAGCAGUGGGGAAUAUUGGAAAAUGGGCGCAAGCCUGAUCCAGCCAUGCCGCGUGAGUGAUGAAGGCCCUAGGGUUGUAAAGCUCUUUCAGUGGGGACGAUAAUGACGGUACCCACAGAAGAAGCCCCGGCUAACUUCGUGCCAGCCGCCGCGGUAA
This 449-nucleotide ribosomal RNA is filed under the name uncultured bacterium. RNAcentral's name for it is "partial 16S ribosomal RNA". It matches the Rfam family "Bacterial small subunit ribosomal RNA", at positions 29 to 523 of the family's 1533-position model. The record is from RNAcentral.